Molecule: long non-coding RNA, 358 nt
Organism: Amphiprion ocellaris (clown anemonefish)
Lineage: Eukaryota; Metazoa; Chordata; Actinopteri; Pomacentridae
Source: Ensembl
GCACGGCUGAAGUCAAGUGAUGGCACCGUGGCGCUUCAGCUGAUUCUACCAGCAGACACUGAAAGAGCUCUGAUAGUUUGCCUUGGUCUGGAUCAUUGGGAACAUCUGCUCUGAUGGACUGAGAACUACAGUGAACAUGGACAUCCAGCUGUGGUUGUCUUAAGUCUUUUCUCCUUCAUCAUUGUGAGGAAGAGCAGCACUGAUGUCCUCCUCAUCCUUCCAGUAAUAACAAUAAUUCUGCAGAUUCAGCACCUCUUCAUAAUACAACUUGUGACUUCAGUAUUUACACUUCACUGUCAGCAACACGUUGUUUAUUUCAUCCAUUUAUUUCAUGUGUUUACACAUCUUUACAGUUCAC